AUGUUUUUCCCUGAGGAGAGUUUCAUCGUACAACACUUGGUAUUGUUUUCAUUUUAUUGUGCCCCUGAGAAGUCCUUCAUCUUCUAACAGUUGGCGUUUCUUUUCUCGUUCCAGGCUCGGAGGAUUGCUUCGGCCACUUCUUGGGGUUCUCCUCACCAUGAUUUCUGCGAGGACAGCUUCAUCGUAGAACCACUGGCCCUGAGGAUUGCUUCAGCGUGCAGCUUCUGGUGUUUUCUUCGCUGCGACGCUGAGGAUUCUACAUUGUCGAACCUUUGG
RNAcentral lists this long non-coding RNA (276 nucleotides) under Anas platyrhynchos platyrhynchos (common mallard). RNAcentral's name for it is "lncRNA (ENSAPLG00000029924.1)". Lineage: Eukaryota; Metazoa; Chordata; Aves; Anseriformes; Anatidae. The record is from RNAcentral.